This is a long non-coding RNA of Cervus elaphus (red deer), 573 nucleotides long. RefSeq lists it as uncharacterized. The transcript is spliced from 3 exons. Lineage: Eukaryota; Metazoa; Chordata; Mammalia; Artiodactyla; Cervidae. The record is from RefSeq and is a predicted model, not a curated record.
AAAUGCGCAGGCGCGCUUUUGAGUCCUUUCUGCUGUAGGGGAUAAAGGGGGAAAAAGCGCGCUUCCUUUUGCGGUUGCCGCUCAUCCUUUAUUUGCAAGCAUUCUUCAGGAUCCGUGUCAGGAGACCCCAGAGGUGCCUCAUGACGCUUCUCCUUACAUCUCAAUGGCUGUAACCUAGCCCCAUGACCACAUCUUGGUGAAAAGGAGGUCAGGAAAUGAAGGCUUUGGAUGGAGCCACAAAGUGAUGAACUACAAGUUGCUGUUACAGAAAAGGGAUUGGGAAAUGAAUACCAGGAGGCUAAGUGCAGUCUCUGCAGUGAAGGUCCUAGCACAGAGCUUCUCAAAGAGUUUUGGGGACUUCCUGGUGGUCCAGUAGCUAAGACUCCCCACUCCCAAUGCAAGAAGUCCGAGUUCGAUCCCUGGUCAGGGAACUAGAUCCCACAUGACAUCCCACAAGAACCAGCAUGCCUCAAUGAUGAGCGACGAUCCUGCAUGCUGCAACUGAGACCUUGUGCAGCCAAAUAAAUAUUUUAAAACAAAAUAAACAAUUUUUAAAAAUUAAAAAUAAUAAAA